RNAcentral lists this ribosomal RNA (497 nucleotides) under uncultured bacterium. RNAcentral's name for it is "partial 16S ribosomal RNA". It matches the Rfam family "Bacterial small subunit ribosomal RNA", at positions 28 to 507 of the family's 1533-position model. The record is from RNAcentral.
GAUGAACGCUGGCGGCGUGCCUAAUACAUGCAAGUCGAGCGAACAGACGAGGAGCUUGCUCCUUCGACGUUAGCGGCGGACGGGUGAGUAACACGUAGGUAACCUACCUAUAAGACUGGGAUAACUUCGGGAAACCGGAGCUAAUACCGGAUAAUAUUUCGAACCGCAUGGUUCGAUAGUGAAAGAUGGCUUUGCUAUCACUUAUAGAUGGACCUGCGCCGUAUUAGCUAGUUGGUAAGGUAACGGCUUACCAAGGCAACGAUACGUAGCCGACCUGAGAGGGUGAUCGCCCAACCUGGAACUGAGACACGGUCCAGACUCCUACGGGAGGAAGCAGUAGGGAAUCUUACGCAAUGGGCGAAAGCCUGACGGAGCAACGCCGCGUGAGUGAUGAAGGUCUUCGGAUCGUAAAACUCUGUCAUUAGGGAAGAACAAACGUGUAAGUAACUGUGCACGUCUUGACGGUACCUAAUCAGAAAGCCACGGCUAACUACGUG